Molecule: long non-coding RNA, 911 nt
Organism: Callorhinus ursinus (northern fur seal)
Lineage: Eukaryota; Metazoa; Chordata; Mammalia; Carnivora; Otariidae
Source: RefSeq, a predicted model, not a curated record
AUGGAGGUGUCAUGCCUAGGACCGCAGGGGAGCUGGGGCGGAGAGCAUGGGGGAGGCCCAGGGCUUGGGGUGGCAAGGGGACAGAGUCCUUGCUUCUCUGACUCAAAAUGGUCUGAAAUGGCCCCAGGUGACUCCACAGCAAACGUCACCAGAGAACACCAACCCACGGAGCGCGGGGAUAAAGCAGGAAGCCAGAGCAGGAGCCCUGUGGAGCAGUGCUUCCAAGCACAGGGGCCAGGACGACAGGCUCUGAAGGGGUACCACGGAUCAUAAAUAUGCAUAGAUAAAGGAGACUCCAGUCCCUUCCCAGGUCUCCAGCUGGGCUCGAUGAUCGUGGGGAAGAGGCAGGUCCUCUGAGGAGUCAAGCAGAACGCACGUUUCCAGCUGCGAAAGGAACCUUCCAGCCUUCCGUGAAGACAGAAGAAAAAAAGGGAGAAGCAGAGACGAAGCCAUUUUUCAGUCCAAAAGAUGCCUGAAGGGUGUUGCUUAUCUAGAGGUCUUGCUGCGUCAUUCGGGGGGGCCUGCAUCUGGGUGGUCACCUCCUAUCAGCAUUAUAGCAGAUAAGGAGACUAAGGCAUGGAGAGGCCAAAUAUAUUCUCAACUCAGGCUGCCGUUAACAAAAUACCAUGCGCUGGAGAGCUUAAACAACAGAAGUGAAUGUUCUCACAGUUCGGGAAGCUGGAGGCCUCGGAUCGGGGCGCUGCCAUGGUCGGGAUUCUGAAAAAAAGGAAGAAAAAGGUGCAGUUACUCCAAAGGAAGUGGUAGAGGAGGAUGUUGGACCAAGAGGCACACAGUAUUCCUUUCAGUCUGUUAAAUACACCCGCAGAUAUGCGUUUCCAUCUAAGAGAAGCAGGGUAGGGUUGGGGAAUGGAAAGGAGAAACAAUUCCCUGUUUUCUUUACUGAUGACCCA